RNAcentral lists this ribosomal RNA (303 nucleotides) under uncultured bacterium. RNAcentral describes it as "partial 16S ribosomal RNA". It matches the Rfam family "Bacterial small subunit ribosomal RNA", at positions 507 to 808 of the family's 1533-position model. The record is from RNAcentral.
AGCAGCAGCCGCGGUAAAACGGAGGGUGCAAGCGUUAAUCGGAAUUACUGGGCGUAAAGCGCACGCAGGCGGUUUGUUAAGUCAGAUGUGAAAUCCCGGGCUCAACCUGGGAAUGGCAGUGGAUAUUGGCUCGCUAGAGUGUGUCAGAGGAUGGUGGAAUUCCCGGUGUAGCGGUGAAAUGCGUAGAGAUCGGGAGGAACAUCAGUGGCGAAGGCGGCCAUCUGGGACAACACUGACGCUGAGGCACGGAAGCGUGGGGAGCAAACAGGAUUAGAUACCCCGGUAGUCCCUGUCUCUUAUACA